This 926-nucleotide ribosomal RNA is filed under the name uncultured bacterium. RNAcentral describes it as "bacterial SSU rRNA". It matches the Rfam family "Bacterial small subunit ribosomal RNA", at positions 508 to 1435 of the family's 1533-position model. The record is from RNAcentral.
CCAGCAGCCGCGGUAAUACGUAGNUCCCGAGCGUUGUCCGGAUUUAUUGGGCGUAAAGCGAGCGCNGGCGGUUAGAUAAGUCUGAAGUUAAAGGCUGUGGCUUAACCAUAGUACGCUUUGGAAACUGUUUAACUUGAGUGCAGAAGGGGAGAGUGGAAUUCCAUGUGUAGCGGUGAAAUGCGUAGAUAUAUGGAGGAACACCGGUGGCGAAAGCGGCUCUCUGGUCUGUAACUGACGCUGAGGCUCGAAAGCGUGGGGAGCGAACAGGAUUAGAUACCCUGGUAGUNCACGCCGUAAACGAUGAGUGCUAGGUGUUAGGCCCCUUCCGGGGCUUAGUGCCGCAGCUAACGCAUUAAGCACUCCGCCUGGGGAGUACGACCGCAAGGUUGAAACUCAAAGGAAUUGACGGGGGCCCGCACAAGCGGUGGAGCAUGUGGUUUAAUUCGAAGCAACGCGAAGAACCUUACCAGGUCUUGACAUCCCGAUGCCCGCUCUAGAGAUAGAGUUCUACUUCGGUACAUCGGUGACAGGUGGUGCAUGGUUGUCGUCAGCUCGUGUCGUGAGAUGUUGGGUUAAGUCCCGCAACGAGCGCAACCCUUAUUGUUAGUUGCCAUCAUUCAGUUGGGCACUCUAGCGAGACUGCCGGUAAUAAACCGGAGGAAGGUGGGGAUGACGUCAAAUCAUCAUGCCCCUUAUGACCUGGGCUACACACGUGCUACAAUGGCUGGUACAACGAGUCGCAAGUCGGUGACGGCAAGCUAAUCUCUUAAAGCCAGUCUCAGUUCGGAUUGUAGGCUGCAACUCGCCUACAUGAAGUCGGAAUCGCUAGUAAUCGCGGAUCAGCACGCCGCGGUGAAUACGUUCCCGGGCCUUGUACACACCGCCCGUCACACCACGAGAGUUUGUAACACCCGAAGUCGGUGAGG